RNAcentral lists this long non-coding RNA (16581 nucleotides) under Solanum lycopersicum (tomato). RNAcentral describes it as "long non-coding RNA (SLYC_LNC000602)". The record is from RNAcentral. Lineage: Eukaryota; Viridiplantae; Streptophyta; Magnoliopsida; Solanales; Solanaceae.
CAAUAACUUAGAUUUAUUUUCUCUCCACUAAACCUAAAGAAAAAUGGGGUUGUUCAACAUCUCAUUGUUACUCACUUGUCUCAUGGUAUUAGCCAUAUUUCACUCUUGUGAGGCCCAAAAUUCACCCCAAGACUAUCUUGCGGUUCAUAACGAUGCCCGUGCCCAAGUCGGAGUCGGGCCUAUGUCUUGGGAUGCCAACUUGGCAUCCCGAGCACAAAACUAUGCCAACUCAAGAGCUGGUGAUUGUAACUUGAUUCAUUCUGGUGCUGGGGAGAAUCUUGCCAAGGGUGGUGGUGACUUCACGGGGAGGGCAGCCGUGCAAUUGUGGGUGUCCGAGAGGCCAAGCUAUAACUACGCUACCAACCAAUGUGUUGGUGGAAAAAAGUGUAGACAUUAUACUCAAGUAGUCUGGCGCAACUCAGUCCGACUAGGUUGUGGUCGGGCACGUUGCAACAACGGAUGGUGGUUCAUUUCUUGCAACUAUGAUCCUGUAGGCAACUGGAUCGGACAACGUCCUUACUAAAAUGAUGUAUACUUAUGACAUGUUGCUAGUAUUAAAUAAAAUUCUCAUAUGAGACGUCGAGAAGUUAAAAUUUAAGUUUGACAUAUGAAUCAAGUCAAACUCCUAUCUAAAAUAUUAAGGGAUUAAAUAUUGAACAUCUAUAAUUAUUAUUAUUUCCCUUUUGAUGUUGCUAAUAUGAAUAAUUCCACAUACCAUAUGUUCAUAAUGGGCUUAAGUUGAUUAUUAAGUACUGCAUCUUCUUGUUUCCAUAAAACAUUAAUAUACAUAAAAUUUUAAUUAAGCAUGGCAUAUAUUAAUUAGGCACAUCAAGCACUUAUCUAAACACGUAACUAUUUAUUCAUAAAUUCAGUUUCAACCAUUCAAAAUAUUUGUUCUAUUUUAAGUGCCCAUCAAAAAAAAAUUCAAUCAUUACCCAAUUUUUUUUCAAUGACUAACAAAUACUCAAGUCUUCCAUAUUCUCUCAUACAAUAAUGGCCUAAAACUAUAUUUUCAUAAAAUAUUUUAUAGGUGAAAAUUGAAUUUCAUCCUUUCUUGACCUAUUGUCUUAGAUUUGAAUACCAGAAAUAAAAACAAAUAUUGCUAUUUAUUGAAAAAAUUUACGUAGCAUGAAAUUAAAUAAAUUGGCACAUAUUUAAAAUAUCUCGUCAGGAAAAAAAAAUUGUACCCCUAACAAACGUUUAAAUUUAAUAAUUUUCACAAAUGUUACUAAAUUUAACAAUGAGAGUUUGAUAAAUAUCUAAUCGUGAACAGAAAGUGUUCACUUUCGAAAAACAAAGAGGACCAAAAGUGAUCUAUUUUGACAAAUUUAAGGAUCAAAAUUGAUCCAAUCAUACAUUAGGGACUAUUUUGAAUCUACUAUAAAAAUGAUAAGGAACCAUUUUUUUGUUUUUUCAUUUUCUCUAUUAAGUUUCUUUGAAUUUUCUUCACACAUGCUAAACAAAAUUCCACAUAUUUACUUAUAUAUAUACUAUACUUAUCUCACAUUCAUAAUCACAAUAAUUUAGAUUUCUUUUCUCUCUACUACUCCUAUAGCAAAAUGGGGUUGUUUAACAUCUCAUUUUUGCUCAUUAGUCUCAUGGUAUUAACCAUAUUUCACACUUGUGAUUCCCAAAAUUCACCCCAAGACUAUUUUGCGGUUCACAACGAUGCCUGCGCCCAAGUUGGAGUUGGGCCAAUGUCUUAGGAUGCUUCACAACGAUGCCCGCGCCCAAGUUGGAAUUGGGCCAAUGUCUUAGGAUGCUGGCUUGGCAUCUCGAGCACAAAAUUAUGCCAACUCAAGAGCUGGUAAUUGCAACUUGAUUCAUUCUGGUGCAUGGGAGAACCUUGCCAAGACCGGUGGUAAUUUCACGGGGAGGGCCGCCGUGCAAUUGUGGGUAUCGAAAAAGCUAAACUACAACUACGGUACCCACCAAUGUGCUAGCGGGCAAAUGUGCGGACAUUAUACUCAAGUAGUUGGCGCAACUCAGUCCGACUAGGUUGUGGUCGGGUUCGUUGUAACAACGGGUGGUGGUUCAUUUCUUGCAACUAUGAUCAUGUAGGCAACUGGGCCGGAAAACGUCCUUAUUAAGGUGUCGUUUAUUUAUGACAUAUUGCUAGUAUUAAAUAAAAUUUUUAUAUUACAUGUCAAGGAGUUAAAAUUUAAAUCUGGCAAGUGGAUCGGAUCGAUCUCCUAUAUAUCCAAGAUGUUAAGGGAUCAAAUAUAUAAUUAUUGUUUUGAUUUCCCUUUGAUAUUGCUAGUAUGAAUAAUUCCACGUAUCAUAUGUUCAUGGUAUCGUGCUUAGGUUCUUUACUUUUUCAAAAUUAUGAAAUUUAUAUAUUAAAAAAUUAAGUGGAGUAAUUAAUUGGGAAAACUACAUAGAUAGAUCCAAUUAUGAAAAUUUAUCUAAUUUGGACUUUAUUCAAACUUUUUAUCUUUAAUGGAUCUAUGCCACAAACAAUUUAUCCGUUUAUCCACUUUCUCCUUUCUUAUUUCACGUAUGAUAUCAGAAUAACGUUAGCAUAACUAUUAUGAAUUUAUCUUUUGUGAUAUAUCUUGUCAGUAUCAUAUAGGAUUUAACUCUUUUUUUAAAAAUAAUUAAGAAAAAAUUAUUAAAGUCACAAUAUUAUUUACUAAACUCUACAUUAGAAGAAAUUAUAUUUUUUAAAUUAGAAUAGAGUUACCCUCAAUGAUACCAUGAUACUAUGUAGAUAUACUGCAAUUGUAUCAUGGACGAUUAAAUAUUCUCAUCGAAGGACUAAAGCGAACCAUAAUGAAAACAUUGUUCAAUUACUCAUUAAUACCAUCCGAGUAUAUUAUACUUGAUCAUAUCAAAGAGGAAGAAACAGUUCUUCAAUGAAGACAUUGUUUAAUGACACUUUUAUACCAUCAGAGUAUAUUAAUAUAUGACUGUAUUAUAUUGUGAUGAUAUAGUAUAUAAUUGUAUUUGAUUUUCAAAAUCACAGUGUAGUUUUGACGGACUCAAACUAGCAAGUCUUUUCCAAAACAAACAAGUAAUUCCAAACAAUUUGUAUUAUAUUUUAAUACGAACACAGUCAAAUAAAAAAAGAGAUAAGUGUCAUAAAUACACCUAAACUAUACAUUUUUUUGAGUUUUUUAAAAUAUUGAAAGUUUCAUUACCUAACCUAUCACUUUUUAGUUUGAGAAACACACCUCUCUCUUUUAUACCACUUUCAUCAUGAUAUGUGUAAUACACACUCUCUCUCUUUUAUUUUAAAGAAUUUUCACAUCACACUCCACAUGGACAAAAUAUUCAAUCUUGACAAAAAAUAAAUAAAUUAUUAGUAUUAGUUAAAAUUAAAAAUUAAGAAACUAUUAUAAAAAAUAAUAUUUUCUUUAUAAAAGAAAAUGUAAAAUAUUUUUCUUAUCCCGCGCUGUUUCUUAAAGUUUUUUAUUUUGUUUAAAUUUCUUUUAUAAAAGUAUUUCAUUUUUUACUUCAUCUCCUCCCCUUCAUCAAAUACUAAUUUAAGUAUUAUUGUAUUUGCUUAAAAAUAUAAUUCUACCCAUCUCACUUAAUCCUCAGCUUUCAGUUUUUUCCCCAGUGUUUAGGUAUAUAUAUAUCGAAAAUAUUUUUACUUGUUGUCAUAAGACUUUUUAUUUUUUUUAGUUGUUUAUGUUAUAUUCGGUACACUAGUAGAAUUUUUUUCUCUAAAAAUAUAUGUACGUGCAUAUCUAACACAAAAUAAGAAAAACGUAAAAAAAAAAAUUAGAAGCGAAAAAUUUAAUAGGAUGUGAUAGAUUUUCUAAAAAUAAAUAAGUAUCAAUUUCUAUCCGGGGGGGGGGGGGUGUGGAGGGGAGGGGGUGGAUGAAAUAUGAAAUUUUUAAGAAUAUUUUAUAAAUAAUUUUUUUUAAAAAAAAGGAUGGGGAUGUCGCGGGGGAGGGAGGGGGGUACGUAAAGAAGGUGGUGGAGUGAGAUAAGAAAAAUAAUUUAAUUUUUUAUGUGCAUAGUAAUCUUUAAUUUUUAAUUAAUAUUAAUUUUUUACUGUUUAAUUUUUAUCUAGAUAAAAUAUUUUAUCUAUGUGGAAUGUCAUGUGUCAAAGUUUUUUAAUAUAAAAGAGAGAGUACACUAUACACACCACUGAGAUGUGUUUCUCAAACUAAAACGGGAUAGUUUAAAUAUGAAACUCACACUUUCGAUAGUUUAGAUAUGAAACUAAAAAAUAAAUAAUUUAAAUUUGUUUUUGAUUCUUCUCUGUAAAAUAAAUAUAUAUAUAUAUAUAUAUAUAUAUAUAUAUAUAUAUUAUCACCGAACAAAGGGAAAAUCAAAACUCUAAUAUAUUAUCAUUCACCGAAUCAAAAUCAGUGAAUUAAAAACUAUAUAAAAAUCCAUAAAUAAUUAUGUGAUGGAAUAGGAAUUCUACACACCAUAGUGAUUACCGUUGAACAUCUUUCGCCAAAAAAUUAUAUUUUAUAUAUAUACACGCUAGAAAUUACUUAAUGUGCGUAGAUAUAAUUAAACAUAUCAAACUAUUUAUGCUAUAUUUAAUACUUAUUUAAAUCGUAACUAUUUAUUCUAAAUUCAGCUCUAACACUUUUUAAAAAGUUUUUAAAAUUUUCUUUCGAAGCUACAAGGAUUGAGGCAGUUUCUAAUUUCCACAUAAAGGACCAAAAAAUUGUUUUGGUUUAAGUGUCUAUCACUUCCAUUGUUUGUUGUUUUCAUUAUAUCCAAAUUGCUUUCAAUGACUAACAAAUACUUGAGUCUUCUCUCUCUCAUAGAAUAACUUUCUUCCAAUAAAUCCACGUAAGGGCGGCUCAAUAAGUGUUGUUUAAUAUUAUCUAAAUAAUAGAGUAAAGUAUGAUUAUUCUUUAAAGCAUAUAGUAUUUCCUUAAUCACACGACAUGCAAUCUCCUUUGAAUUUUCUUCACAUGUGAAAUAAAAUUCCACAAAGUUUAAAUUUAACAAUUUUCACAAAUUUGAUUAAAUUGAACAAUCAAAGUUUGAUAAAUAUCUUAUCGAAACCAAAAGUGUUCACUUUUGAAAAAUAUAAAGGACCAAAAAAGAUCACUUUUGACAAUCUUAAGGACCAAAAUUGCUCUUAUCAUACAUAAGGGAGUCUAUUGAAACUACUAAAAAGAUAAGGAAGCCUUUUUGUCAUUUCUCUAUAAUUUCCUUUGAAUUUUCUUCAUACAUGCUAAACAAAAUUACACAAUGUUUAAUUAUAUAUACACUAUUUAAAGGACCAAAAGUAAUUAAUUCUAAAAAGUUUUAAGGACCAAAAUCACUUAGCAAAAUACACAAGAGACUAUUUUGAACUUACUAUCAAAGAUAAGAGACCAUUUUUAUCAUUUCCUCUACUAAUAAUUUCCUUUGAAUUUUCUUCACACAUACUUAGCAAAAUUCCACAAUUUUUACUUAUAAAUACACUACUUAUCUCACGUUUAUAAUCACAAUAACUUAGAUUUAUUUUCUCUCCACUAAACCUAAAGAAAAAUGGGGUUGUUCAACAUCUCAUUGUUACUCACUUGUCUCAUGGUAUUAGCCAUAUUUCACUCUUGUGAGGCCCAAAAUUCACCCCAAGACUAUCUUGCGGUUCAUAACGAUGCCCGUGCCCAAGUCGGAGUCGGGCCUAUGUCUUGGGAUGCCAACUUGGCAUCCCGAGCACAAAACUAUGCCAACUCAAGAGCUGGUGAUUGUAACUUGAUUCAUUCUGGUGCUGGGGAGAAUCUUGCCAAGGGUGGUGGUGACUUCACGGGGAGGGCAGCCGUGCAAUUGUGGGUGUCCGAGAGGCCAAGCUAUAACUACGCUACCAACCAAUGUGUUGGUGGAAAAAAGUGUAGACAUUAUACUCAAGUAGUCUGGCGCAACUCAGUCCGACUAGGUUGUGGUCGGGCACGUUGCAACAACGGAUGGUGGUUCAUUUCUUGCAACUAUGAUCCUGUAGGCAACUGGAUCGGACAACGUCCUUACUAAAAUGAUGUAUACUUAUGACAUGUUGCUAGUAUUAAAUAAAAUUCUCAUAUGAGACGUCGAGAAGUUAAAAUUUAAGUUUGACAUAUGAAUCAAGUCAAACUCCUAUCUAAAAUAUUAAGGGAUUAAAUAUUGAACAUCUAUAAUUAUUAUUAUUUCCCUUUUGAUGUUGCUAAUAUGAAUAAUUCCACAUACCAUAUGUUCAUAAUGGGCUUAAGUUGAUUAUUAAGUACUGCAUCUUCUUGUUUCCAUAAAACAUUAAUAUACAUAAAAUUUUAAUUAAGCAUGGCAUAUAUUAAUUAGGCACAUCAAGCACUUAUCUAAACACGUAACUAUUUAUUCAUAAAUUCAGUUUCAACCAUUCAAAAUAUUUGUUCUAUUUUAAGUGCCCAUCAAAAAAAAAUUCAAUCAUUACCCAAUUUUUUUUCAAUGACUAACAAAUACUCAAGUCUUCCAUAUUCUCUCAUACAAUAAUGGCCUAAAACUAUAUUUUCAUAAAAUAUUUUAUAGGUGAAAAUUGAAUUUCAUCCUUUCUUGACCUAUUGUCUUAGAUUUGAAUACCAGAAAUAAAAACAAAUAUUGCUAUUUAUUGAAAAAAUUUACGUAGCAUGAAAUUAAAUAAAUUGGCACAUAUUUAAAAUAUCUCGUCAGGAAAAAAAAAUUGUACCCCUAACAAACGUUUAAAUUUAAUAAUUUUCACAAAUGUUACUAAAUUUAACAAUGAGAGUUUGAUAAAUAUCUAAUCGUGAACAGAAAGUGUUCACUUUCGAAAAACAAAGAGGACCAAAAGUGAUCUAUUUUGACAAAUUUAAGGAUCAAAAUUGAUCCAAUCAUACAUUAGGGACUAUUUUGAAUCUACUAUAAAAAUGAUAAGGAACCAUUUUUUUGUUUUUUCAUUUUCUCUAUUAAGUUUCUUUGAAUUUUCUUCACACAUGCUAAACAAAAUUCCACAUAUUUACUUAUAUAUAUACUAUACUUAUCUCACAUUCAUAAUCACAAUAAUUUAGAUUUCUUUUCUCUCUACUACUCCUAUAGCAAAAUGGGGUUGUUUAACAUCUCAUUUUUGCUCAUUAGUCUCAUGGUAUUAACCAUAUUUCACACUUGUGAUUCCCAAAAUUCACCCCAAGACUAUUUUGCGGUUCACAACGAUGCCUGCGCCCAAGUUGGAGUUGGGCCAAUGUCUUAGGAUGCUUCACAACGAUGCCCGCGCCCAAGUUGGAAUUGGGCCAAUGUCUUAGGAUGCUGGCUUGGCAUCUCGAGCACAAAAUUAUGCCAACUCAAGAGCUGGUAAUUGCAACUUGAUUCAUUCUGGUGCAUGGGAGAACCUUGCCAAGACCGGUGGUAAUUUCACGGGGAGGGCCGCCGUGCAAUUGUGGGUAUCGAAAAAGCUAAACUACAACUACGGUACCCACCAAUGUGCUAGCGGGCAAAUGUGCGGACAUUAUACUCAAGUAGUUGGCGCAACUCAGUCCGACUAGGUUGUGGUCGGGUUCGUUGUAACAACGGGUGGUGGUUCAUUUCUUGCAACUAUGAUCAUGUAGGCAACUGGGCCGGAAAACGUCCUUAUUAAGGUGUCGUUUAUUUAUGACAUAUUGCUAGUAUUAAAUAAAAUUUUUAUAUUACAUGUCAAGGAGUUAAAAUUUAAAUCUGGCAAGUGGAUCGGAUCGAUCUCCUAUAUAUCCAAGAUGUUAAGGGAUCAAAUAUAUAAUUAUUGUUUUGAUUUCCCUUUGAUAUUGCUAGUAUGAAUAAUUCCACGUAUCAUAUGUUCAUGGUAUCGUGCUUAGGUUCUUUACUUUUUCAAAAUUAUGAAAUUUAUAUAUUAAAAAAUUAAGUGGAGUAAUUAAUUGGGAAAACUACAUAGAUAGAUCCAAUUAUGAAAAUUUAUCUAAUUUGGACUUUAUUCAAACUUUUUAUCUUUAAUGGAUCUAUGCCACAAACAAUUUAUCCGUUUAUCCACUUUCUCCUUUCUUAUUUCACGUAUGAUAUCAGAAUAACGUUAGCAUAACUAUUAUGAAUUUAUCUUUUGUGAUAUAUCUUGUCAGUAUCAUAUAGGAUUUAACUCUUUUUUUAAAAAUAAUUAAGAAAAAAUUAUUAAAGUCACAAUAUUAUUUACUAAACUCUACAUUAGAAGAAAUUAUAUUUUUUAAAUUAGAAUAGAGUUACCCUCAAUGAUACCAUGAUACUAUGUAGAUAUACUGCAAUUGUAUCAUGGACGAUUAAAUAUUCUCAUCGAAGGACUAAAGCGAACCAUAAUGAAAACAUUGUUCAAUUACUCAUUAAUACCAUCCGAGUAUAUUAUACUUGAUCAUAUCAAAGAGGAAGAAACAGUUCUUCAAUGAAGACAUUGUUUAAUGACACUUUUAUACCAUCAGAGUAUAUUAAUAUAUGACUGUAUUAUAUUGUGAUGAUAUAGUAUAUAAUUGUAUUUGAUUUUCAAAAUCACAGUGUAGUUUUGACGGACUCAAACUAGCAAGUCUUUUCCAAAACAAACAAGUAAUUCCAAACAAUUUGUAUUAUAUUUUAAUACGAACACAGUCAAAUAAAAAAAGAGAUAAGUGUCAUAAAUACACCUAAACUAUACAUUUUUUUGAGUUUUUUAAAAUAUUGAAAGUUUCAUUACCUAACCUAUCACUUUUUAGUUUGAGAAACACACCUCUCUCUUUUAUACCACUUUCAUCAUGAUAUGUGUAAUACACACUCUCUCUCUUUUAUUUUAAAGAAUUUUCACAUCACACUCCACAUGGACAAAAUAUUCAAUCUUGACAAAAAAUAAAUAAAUUAUUAGUAUUAGUUAAAAUUAAAAAUUAAGAAACUAUUAUAAAAAAUAAUAUUUUCUUUAUAAAAGAAAAUGUAAAAUAUUUUUCUUAUCCCGCGCUGUUUCUUAAAGUUUUUUAUUUUGUUUAAAUUUCUUUUAUAAAAGUAUUUCAUUUUUUACUUCAUCUCCUCCCCUUCAUCAAAUACUAAUUUAAGUAUUAUUGUAUUUGCUUAAAAAUAUAAUUCUACCCAUCUCACUUAAUCCUCAGCUUUCAGUUUUUUCCCCAGUGUUUAGGUAUAUAUAUAUCGAAAAUAUUUUUACUUGUUGUCAUAAGACUUUUUAUUUUUUUUAGUUGUUUAUGUUAUAUUCGGUACACUAGUAGAAUUUUUUUCUCUAAAAAUAUAUGUACGUGCAUAUCUAACACAAAAUAAGAAAAACGUAAAAAAAAAAAUUAGAAGCGAAAAAUUUAAUAGGAUGUGAUAGAUUUUCUAAAAAUAAAUAAGUAUCAAUUUCUAUCCGGGGGGGGGGGGGGUGUGGAGGGGAGGGGGUGGAUGAAAUAUGAAAUUUUUAAGAAUAUUUUAUAAAUAAUUUUUUUUUAAAAAAAAGGAUGGGGAUGUCGCGGGGGAGGGAGGGGGGUACGUAAAGAAGGUGGUGGAGUGAGAUAAGAAAAAUAAUUUAAUUUUUUAUGUGCAUAGUAAUCUUUAAUUUUUAAUUAAUAUUAAUUUUUUACUGUUUAAUUUUUAUCUAGAUAAAAUAUUUUAUCUAUGUGGAAUGUCAUGUGUCAAAGUUUUUUAAUAUAAAAGAGAGAGUACACUAUACACACCACUGAGAUGUGUUUCUCAAACUAAAACGGGAUAGUUUAAAUAUGAAACUCACACUUUCGAUAGUUUAGAUAUGAAACUAAAAAAUAAAUAAUUUAAAUUUGUUUUUGAUUCUUCUCUGUAAAAUAAAAUAAAUAUAUAUAUAUAUAUAUAUAUAUAUAUAUAUAUAUAUUAUCACCGAACAAAGGGAAAAUCAAAACUCUAAUAUAUUAUCAUUCACCGAAUCAAAAUCAGUGAAUUAAAAACUAUAUAAAAAUCCAUAAAUAAUUAUGUGAUGGAAUAGGAAUUCUACACACCAUAGUGAUUACCGUUGAACAUCUUUCGCCAAAAAAUUAUAUUUUAUAUAUAUACACGCUAGAAAUUACUUAAUGUGCGUAGAUAUAAUUAAACAUAUCAAACUAUUUAUGCUAUAUUUAAUACUUAUUUAAAUCGUAACUAUUUAUUCUAAAUUCAGCUCUAACACUUUUUAAAAAGUUUUUAAAAUUUUCUUUCGAAGCUACAAGGAUUGAGGCAGUUUCUAAUUUCCACAUAAAGGACCAAAAAAUUGUUUUGGUUUAAGUGUCUAUCACUUCCAUUGUUUGUUGUUUUCAUUAUAUCCAAAUUGCUUUCAAUGACUAACAAAUACUUGAGUCUUCUCUCUCUCAUAGAAUAACUUUCUUCCAAUAAAUCCACGUAAGGGCGGCUCAAUAAGUGUUGUUUAAUAUUAUCUAAAUAAUAGAGUAAAGUAUGAUUAUUCUUUAAAGCAUAUAGUAUUUCCUUAAUCACACGACAUGCAAUCUCCUUUGAAUUUUCUUCACAUGUGAAAUAAAAUUCCACAAAGUUUAAAUUUAACAAUUUUCACAAAUUUGAUUAAAUUGAACAAUCAAAGUUUGAUAAAUAUCUUAUCGAAACCAAAAGUGUUCACUUUUGAAAAAUAUAAAGGACCAAAAAAGAUCACUUUUGACAAUCUUAAGGACCAAAAUUGCUCUUAUCAUACAUAAGGGAGUCUAUUGAAACUACUAAAAAGAUAAGGAAGCCUUUUUGUCAUUUCUCUAUAAUUUCCUUUGAAUUUUCUUCAUACAUGCUAAACAAAAUUACACAAUGUUUAAUUAUAUAUACACUAUUUAAAGGACCAAAAGUAAUUAAUUCUAAAAAGUUUUAAGGACCAAAAUCACUUAGCAAAAUACACAAGAGACUAUUUUGAACUUACUAUCAAAGAUAAGAGACCAUUUUUAUCAUUUCCUCUACUAAUAAUUUCCUUUGAAUUUUCUUCACACAUACUUAGCAAAAUUCCACAAUUUUUACUUAUAAAUACACUACUUAUCUCACGUUUAUAAUCACAAUAACUUAGAUUUAUUUUCUCUCCACUAAACCUAAAGAAAAAUGGGGUUGUUCAACAUCUCAUUGUUACUCACUUGUCUCAUGGUAUUAGCCAUAUUUCACUCUUGUGAGGCCCAAAAUUCACCCCAAGACUAUCUUGCGGUUCAUAACGAUGCCCGUGCCCAAGUCGGAGUCGGGCCUAUGUCUUGGGAUGCCAACUUGGCAUCCCGAGCACAAAACUAUGCCAACUCAAGAGCUGGUGAUUGUAACUUGAUUCAUUCUGGUGCUGGGGAGAAUCUUGCCAAGGGUGGUGGUGACUUCACGGGGAGGGCAGCCGUGCAAUUGUGGGUGUCCGAGAGGCCAAGCUAUAACUACGCUACCAACCAAUGUGUUGGUGGAAAAAAGUGUAGACAUUAUACUCAAGUAGUCUGGCGCAACUCAGUCCGACUAGGUUGUGGUCGGGCACGUUGCAACAACGGAUGGUGGUUCAUUUCUUGCAACUAUGAUCCUGUAGGCAACUGGAUCGGACAACGUCCUUACUAAAAUGAUGUAUACUUAUGACAUGUUGCUAGUAUUAAAUAAAAUUCUCAUAUGAGACGUCGAGAAGUUAAAAUUUAAGUUUGACAUAUGAAUCAAGUCAAACUCCUAUCUAAAAUAUUAAGGGAUUAAAUAUUGAACAUCUAUAAUUAUUAUUAUUUCCCUUUUGAUGUUGCUAAUAUGAAUAAUUCCACAUACCAUAUGUUCAUAAUGGGCUUAAGUUGAUUAUUAAGUACUGCAUCUUCUUGUUUCCAUAAAACAUUAAUAUACAUAAAAUUUUAAUUAAGCAUGGCAUAUAUUAAUUAGGCACAUCAAGCACUUAUCUAAACACGUAACUAUUUAUUCAUAAAUUCAGUUUCAACCAUUCAAAAUAUUUGUUCUAUUUUAAGUGCCCAUCAAAAAAAAAUUCAAUCAUUACCCAAUUUUUUUUCAAUGACUAACAAAUACUCAAGUCUUCCAUAUUCUCUCAUACAAUAAUGGCCUAAAACUAUAUUUUCAUAAAAUAUUUUAUAGGUGAAAAUUGAAUUUCAUCCUUUCUUGACCUAUUGUCUUAGAUUUGAAUACCAGAAAUAAAAACAAAUAUUGCUAUUUAUUGAAAAAAUUUACGUAGCAUGAAAUUAAAUAAAUUGGCACAUAUUUAAAAUAUCUCGUCAGGAAAAAAAAAUUGUACCCCUAACAAACGUUUAAAUUUAAUAAUUUUCACAAAUGUUACUAAAUUUAACAAUGAGAGUUUGAUAAAUAUCUAAUCGUGAACAGAAAGUGUUCACUUUCGAAAAACAAAGAGGACCAAAAGUGAUCUAUUUUGACAAAUUUAAGGAUCAAAAUUGAUCCAAUCAUACAUUAGGGACUAUUUUGAAUCUACUAUAAAAAUGAUAAGGAACCAUUUUUUUGUUUUUUCAUUUUCUCUAUUAAGUUUCUUUGAAUUUUCUUCACACAUGCUAAACAAAAUUCCACAUAUUUACUUAUAUAUAUACUAUACUUAUCUCACAUUCAUAAUCACAAUAAUUUAGAUUUCUUUUCUCUCUACUACUCCUAUAGCAAAAUGGGGUUGUUUAACAUCUCAUUUUUGCUCAUUAGUCUCAUGGUAUUAACCAUAUUUCACACUUGUGAUUCCCAAAAUUCACCCCAAGACUAUUUUGCGGUUCACAACGAUGCCUGCGCCCAAGUUGGAGUUGGGCCAAUGUCUUAGGAUGCUUCACAACGAUGCCCGCGCCCAAGUUGGAAUUGGGCCAAUGUCUUAGGAUGCUGGCUUGGCAUCUCGAGCACAAAAUUAUGCCAACUCAAGAGCUGGUAAUUGCAACUUGAUUCAUUCUGGUGCAUGGGAGAACCUUGCCAAGACCGGUGGUAAUUUCACGGGGAGGGCCGCCGUGCAAUUGUGGGUAUCGAAAAAGCUAAACUACAACUACGGUACCCACCAAUGUGCUAGCGGGCAAAUGUGCGGACAUUAUACUCAAGUAGUUGGCGCAACUCAGUCCGACUAGGUUGUGGUCGGGUUCGUUGUAACAACGGGUGGUGGUUCAUUUCUUGCAACUAUGAUCAUGUAGGCAACUGGGCCGGAAAACGUCCUUAUUAAGGUGUCGUUUAUUUAUGACAUAUUGCUAGUAUUAAAUAAAAUUUUUAUAUUACAUGUCAAGGAGUUAAAAUUUAAAUCUGGCAAGUGGAUCGGAUCGAUCUCCUAUAUAUCCAAGAUGUUAAGGGAUCAAAUAUAUAAUUAUUGUUUUGAUUUCCCUUUGAUAUUGCUAGUAUGAAUAAUUCCACGUAUCAUAUGUUCAUGGUAUCGUGCUUAGGUUCUUUACUUUUUCAAAAUUAUGAAAUUUAUAUAUUAAAAAAUUAAGUGGAGUAAUUAAUUGGGAAAACUACAUAGAUAGAUCCAAUUAUGAAAAUUUAUCUAAUUUGGACUUUAUUCAAACUUUUUAUCUUUAAUGGAUCUAUGCCACAAACAAUUUAUCCGUUUAUCCACUUUCUCCUUUCUUAUUUCACGUAUGAUAUCAGAAUAACGUUAGCAUAACUAUUAUGAAUUUAUCUUUUGUGAUAUAUCUUGUCAGUAUCAUAUAGGAUUUAACUCUUUUUUUAAAAAUAAUUAAGAAAAAAUUAUUAAAGUCACAAUAUUAUUUACUAAACUCUACAUUAGAAGAAAUUAUAUUUUUUAAAUUAGAAUAGAGUUACCCUCAAUGAUACCAUGAUACUAUGUAGAUAUACUGCAAUUGUAUCAUGGACGAUUAAAUAUUCUCAUCGAAGGACUAAAGCGAACCAUAAUGAAAACAUUGUUCAAUUACUCAUUAAUACCAUCCGAGUAUAUUAUACUUGAUCAUAUCAAAGAGGAAGAAACAGUUCUUCAAUGAAGACAUUGUUUAAUGACACUUUUAUACCAUCAGAGUAUAUUAAUAUAUGACUGUAUUAUAUUGUGAUGAUAUAGUAUAUAAUUGUAUUUGAUUUUCAAAAUCACAGUGUAGUUUUGACGGACUCAAACUAGCAAGUCUUUUCCAAAACAAACAAGUAAUUCCAAACAAUUUGUAUUAUAUUUUAAUACGAACACAGUCAAAUAAAAAAAGAGAUAAGUGUCAUAAAUACACCUAAACUAUACAUUUUUUUGAGUUUUUUAAAAUAUUGAAAGUUUCAUUACCUAACCUAUCACUUUUUAGUUUGAGAAACACACCUCUCUCUUUUAUACCACUUUCAUCAUGAUAUGUGUAAUACACACUCUCUCUCUUUUAUUUUAAAGAAUUUUCACAUCACACUCCACAUGGACAAAAUAUUCAAUCUUGACAAAAAAUAAAUAAAUUAUUAGUAUUAGUUAAAAUUAAAAAUUAAGAAACUAUUAUAAAAAAUAAUAUUUUCUUUAUAAAAGAAAAUGUAAAAUAUUUUUCUUAUCCCGCGCUGUUUCUUAAAGUUUUUUAUUUUGUUUAAAUUUCUUUUAUAAAAGUAUUUCAUUUUUUACUUCAUCUCCUCCCCUUCAUCAAAUACUAAUUUAAGUAUUAUUGUAUUUGCUUAAAAAUAUAAUUCUACCCAUCUCACUUAAUCCUCAGCUUUCAGUUUUUUCCCCAGUGUUUAGGUAUAUAUAUAUCGAAAAUAUUUUUACUUGUUGUCAUAAGACUUUUUAUUUUUUUUAGUUGUUUAUGUUAUAUUCGGUACACUAGUAGAAUUUUUUUCUCUAAAAAUAUAUGUACGUGCAUAUCUAACACAAAAUAAGAAAAACGUAAAAAAAAAAAUUAGAAGCGAAAAAUUUAAUAGGAUGUGAUAGAUUUUCUAAAAAUAAAUAAGUAUCAAUUUCUAUCCGGGGGGGGGGGGGUGUGGAGGGGAGGGGGUGGAUGAAAUAUGAAAUUUUUAAGAAUAUUUUAUAAAUAAUUUUUUUUUAAAAAAAAGGAUGGGGAUGUCGCGGGGGAGGGAGGGGGGUACGUAAAGAAGGUGGUGGAGUGAGAUAAGAAAAAUAAUUUAAUUUUUUAUGUGCAUAGUAAUCUUUAAUUUUUAAUUAAUAUUAAUUUUUUACUGUUUAAUUUUUAUCUAGAUAAAAUAUUUUAUCUAUGUGGAAUGUCAUGUGUCAAAGUUUUUUAAUAUAAAAGAGAGAGUACACUAUACACACCACUGAGAUGUGUUUCUCAAACUAAAACGGGAUAGUUUAAAUAUGAAACUCACACUUUCGAUAGUUUAGAUAUGAAACUAAAAAAUAAAUAAUUUAAAUUUGUUUUUGAUUCUUCUCUGUAAAAUAAAAUAAUAUAUAUAUAUAUAUAUAUAUAUAUAUAUAUAUAUAUUAUCACCGAACAAAGGGAAAAUCAAAACUCUAAUAUAUUAUCAUUCACCGAAUCAAAAUCAGUGAAUUAAAAACUAUAUAAAAAUCCAUAAAUAAUUAUGUGAUGGAAUAGGAAUUCUACACACCAUAGUGAUUACCGUUGAACAUCUUUCGCCAAAAAAUUAUAUUUUAUAUAUAUACACGCUAGAAAUUACUUAAUGUGCGUAGAUAUAAUUAAACAUAUCAAACUAUUUAUGCUAUAUUUAAUACUUAUUUAAAUCGUAACUAUUUAUUCUAAAUUCAGCUCUAACACUUUUUAAAAAGUUUUUAAAAUUUUCUUUCGAAGCUACAAGGAUUGAGGCAGUUUCUAAUUUCCACAUAAAGGACCAAAAAAUUGUUUUGGUUUAAGUGUCUAUCACUUCCAUUGUUUGUUGUUUUCAUUAUAUCCAAAUUGCUUUCAAUGACUAACAAAUACUUGAGUCUUCUCUCUCUCAUAGAAUAACUUUCUUCCAAUAAAUCCACGUAAGGGCGGCUCAAUAAGUGUUGUUUAAUAUUAUCUAAAUAAUAGAGUAAAGUAUGAUUAUUCUUUAAAGCAUAUAGUAUUUCCUUAAUCACACGACAUGCAAUCUCCUUUGAAUUUUCUUCACAUGUGAAAUAAAAUUCCACAAAGUUUAAAUUUAACAAUUUUCACAAAUUUGAUUAAAUUGAACAAUCAAAGUUUGAUAAAUAUCUUAUCGAAACCAAAAGUGUUCACUUUUGAAAAAUAUAAAGGAGCAAAAAAGAUCACUUUUGACAAUCUUAAGGACCAAAAUUGCUCUUAUCAUACAUAAGGGAGUCUAUUGAAACUACUAAAAAGAUAAGGGACCCUUUUUGUCAUUUCUCUAUAAUUUCCUUUGGAUUUUCUUCAUACAUGCUAAACAAAAUUACACAAUGUUUAAUUAUAUAUACACUAUUUAAAGGACCAAAAGUAAUUAAUUUUAAAAAGUUUUAAGGACCAAAAUCACUUAGCAAAAUACACAAGAGACUAUUUUGAACUUACUAUCAAAGAUAAGAGACCAUUUUUAUCAUUUCCUCUACCAAUAAUUUCCUUUGAAUUUUCUUCACACAUACUUAGCAAAAUUCCACAAUUUUUACUUAUAAAUACACUACUUAUCUCACGUUUAUAAUCACAAUAACUUAGAUUUAUUUUCUCUCCACUAAACCUAAAGAAAAAUGGGGUUGUUCAACAUCUCAUUGUUACUCACUUGUCUCAUGGUAUUAGCCAUAUUUCACUCUUGUGAGGCCCAAAAUUCACCCCAAGACUAUCUUGCGGUUCACAACGAUGCCCGUGCCCAAGUCGGAGUCGGGCCAAUGUCUUGGGAUGCCAACUUGGCAUCCCGAGCACAAAACUAUGCCAACUCAAGAGCGGGUGAUUGUAAUUUGAUUCAUUCUGGUGCUGGGGAGAACCUUGCCAAGGGUGGUGGUGACUUCACGGGGAGGGCAGCCGUGCAAUUGUGGGUGUCCGAGAGGCCAGA